RNAcentral lists this ribosomal RNA (465 nucleotides) under uncultured Klebsiella sp. RNAcentral's name for it is "bacterial SSU rRNA". It matches the Rfam family "Bacterial small subunit ribosomal RNA", at positions 338 to 795 of the family's 1533-position model. The record is from RNAcentral. Lineage: Bacteria; Pseudomonadati; Pseudomonadota; Gammaproteobacteria; Enterobacterales; Enterobacteriaceae.
CCUACGGGUGGCUGCAGCGGGGAAUAUUGCACAAUGGGCGCAAGCCUGAUGCAGCCACGCCGCGUGUGUGAAGAAGGCCUUCGGGUUGUAAAGCACUUUCAGCGGGGAGGAAGGCGGUGAGGUUAAUAACCUGAUCGAUUGACGUUACCUGAAGAAGAAGCACCGGCUAACUCCGUGCCAGCAGCCGCGGUAAUACGGAGGGUGCAAGCGUUAAUCGGAAUUACUGGGCGUAAAGCGCACGCAGGCGGUCUGUCAAGUCGGAUGUGAAAUCCCCGGGCUCAACCGGGGAGCUGCAUUCGAAACUGGCAGGCUAGAGUCUUGUAGAGGAGAGUAGAAUUCCAGGUGUAGCGGUGAAAUGCGUAGAGAUCUGGAGGAAUACCGGUGGCGAAGGCGGCCCCCUGGACAAAGACUGACGCUCAGGUGCGAAAGCGUGGGGAGCAAACAGGAUUAGAUACCCCUGUAGUC